RNAcentral lists this ribosomal RNA (550 nucleotides) under uncultured bacterium. RNAcentral describes it as "bacterial SSU rRNA". It matches the Rfam family "Bacterial small subunit ribosomal RNA", at positions 355 to 896 of the family's 1533-position model. The record is from RNAcentral.
UAGGGAAUCUUCCGCAAUGGACGCAAGUCUGACGGAGCAACGCCGCGUGAGUGAAGAAGGUUUUCGGAUCGUAAAACUCUGUUGUUAGAGAAGAACAAGUGCUAGAGUAACUGUUAGCGCCUUGACGGUAUCUAACCAGAAAGCCACGGCUAACUACGUGCCAGCAGCCGCGGUAAUACGUAGGUGGCAAGCGUUGUCCGGAUUUAUUGGGCGUAAAGCGAGCGCAGGCGGUUCCUUAAGUCUGAUGUGAAAGCCCCCGGCUCAACCGGGGAGGGUCAUUGGAAACUGGGGAACUUGAGUGCAGAAGAGGAGAGUGGAAUUCCAUGUGUAGCGGUGAAAUGCGUAGAUAUAUGGAGGAACACCAGUGGCGAAGGCGACUCUCUGGUCUGUAACUGACGCUGAGGCUCGAAAGCGUGGGUAGCAAACAGGAUUAGAUACCCUGGUAGUCCACGCCGUAAACGAUGAGUGCUAAGUGUUGGAGGGUUUCCGCCCUUCAGUGCUGCAGUUAACGCAUUAAGCACUCCGCCUGGGGAGUACGACCGCAAGGUUG